CCUACGUGUGGCAGCAGUGAGGAAUAUUGGUCAAUGGACGCAAGUCUGAACCAGCCAAGCCGCGUGCAGGAAGACGGUUCUAUGAGUUGUAAACUUCUUUUGUCCGGGGGUAAACCCCGAUACGUGUAGCGGGUUGAAAGUACCGUAAGAAAAAGCAUCGGCUAACUCCGUGCCAGCAGCCGCGGUAAUACGGAGGAUCCGAGCGUUAUCCGGAUUUAUUGGGUUUAAAGGGUGCGCAGGCGGAUUUUUAAGUCAGCGGUCAAAUCGUGGGGCUCAACCCCAUCCAGCCGUUGAAACUGGGGAUCUAGAGUGGGCGAGAGGUAUGCGGAAUGCGUGGUGUAGCGGUGAAAUGCAUAGAUAUCACGCAGAACCCCGAUUGCGAAGGCAGCAUACCGGUGCACAACUGACGCUCAGGCACGAAAGCGUGGGUAUCGAACAGGAUUAGAUACCCGAGUAGUC
RNAcentral lists this ribosomal RNA (459 nucleotides) under uncultured bacterium. Its description in RNAcentral is "partial 16S ribosomal RNA". It matches the Rfam family "Bacterial small subunit ribosomal RNA", at positions 338 to 795 of the family's 1533-position model. The record is from RNAcentral.